GGAAAAUUGGGGGGAUCUAAUGGAUACUGGGAUUGUAUACUCUUCCGUACUUUGUUCCAAUUUAAAAUCAAACUAGACCAAAUGCACUUAUUGAUGAUUUACUCACCGGGAUAGACUUUUUCUUCUGUGUCUAUACUGGUCCAUUUUCAACGUCAUACAA
RNAcentral lists this small nucleolar RNA (160 nucleotides) under Nakaseomyces glabratus. Its description in RNAcentral is "Candida glabrata Small nucleolar RNA snR80". It matches the Rfam family "Small nucleolar RNA snR80". The record is from Rfam by way of RNAcentral. Lineage: Eukaryota; Fungi; Ascomycota; Saccharomycetes; Saccharomycetales; Saccharomycetaceae.